AUUGAACGCUGGCGGCAGGCUUAACACAUGCAAGUCGAGCGGUAGCACAGGGGAGCUUGCUCCCUGGGUGACGAGCGGCGGACGGGUGAUUAAUGUCUGGGAAACUGCCUGAUGGAGGGGGAUAACUACUGGAAACGGUAGCUAAUACCGCAUAACGUCGCAAGACCAAAGAGGGGGACCUUCGGGCCUCUUGCCAUCAGAUGUGCCCAGAUGGGAUUAGCUAGUAGGUGGGGUAAUGGCUCACCUAGGCGACGAUCCCUAGCUGGUCUGAGAGGAUGACCAGCCACACUGGAACUGAGACACGGUCCAGACUCCUACGGGAGGCAGCAGUGGGGAAUAUUGCACAGUGGGCGCAAGCCUGAUGCAGCCAUGCCGCGUGUGUGAAGAAGGCCUUCGGGUUGUAAAGCACUUUCAGCGAGGAGGAAGGUGGUGAACUUAAUACGUUCAUCAAUUGACGUUACUCGCAGAAGAAGCACCGGCUAACUCCGU
This 489-nucleotide ribosomal RNA is filed under the name uncultured bacterium. RNAcentral describes it as "partial 16S ribosomal RNA". It matches the Rfam family "Bacterial small subunit ribosomal RNA", at positions 30 to 506 of the family's 1533-position model. The record is from RNAcentral.